GAAAGAAAAAGGUUUUAAGUUUUUUUAUUUAAGAAAAUACUUGAACUGUCUUACACAACUAAAUUAAGUAUUUAAACAACAUGAAGAGUGCCAGCGUCAGGACAUAAGCAUUAAUUUUACUGACUUGCCUCAACAGAUAAUAAAUAUUGAUUUAAUGGUGACCAAACACAUUGGCAAUAGCAACUAAAGUACCAUACGAUGGUCAGUUGGGGAUAAUCUCCUCUAAAAUGAGAACAAAUCCUUGAGUCCAUUCCUUUUAGCAGAAACAAUUAAAACCAUCUUGGUAGAACCAGGUCUCGGCAAAACACACCACAUGUAUGGAAGGCUUCAAGAGAAUGAAGAACCCACAAGCUUGAAGAAGCCUCCAGAGUUCUCUUCAGGAUCAACAAGGUGCUUGUUAUCAUCGUGGUCCUCUGUAUGAGUAUCAAUAUUAGAGCACUGUGAAUGUAGUAGUAAAGGGUGUUGAGUCCAGAGAAAUCCUAGGGGGGUCAGCAAGACUGGCACGUUACACAGUCCAAUACUUACCAGUAAAAUAACCACACUCACCCAUAAAGGCUGCUGAUCUAUGCAUGUCUCUGCUUUCAGGAAAAAUUUAAUCAUGGUAAUUCAUGUAAAGCACUGUGUCAGGUCUCUGGACUAUGAGAAAGCCACAUUCCUUGAAUUCAGAAGUUUGAUCAAAUUAUAGAGAAGUGUUUAAUAACAGCAGCAACCACCACUUGAAGGUUUACUACGUACCAGGAACUUUCCGUGCUUUACCUCAUUUAAACCAACAAUACCCUAUGAGGUAGGUACUAUCAGACCCGGGCUACAGAUAAGAAAACCAAAGUGCACAGAGAUUAAGUGAUUUAUUACGUGAUUUAUUGUGGAACUGAGACUUGAAUCCAGGCAGUCUGGAUUAGUUAGUUAGUUGUGUUACAGAGGUACAAGCAAAAGAGAAACACAGCACAAAGAAUUAGAUUAUUUAAAAUACGAGAGGGAUUAAAGAAACUGCAAGGGGGAGGUCAUACAGGCACAGCGAAGACAGAGAGCAAGGUGUAGUCAAAGAAAGAAGAUGGUUUGUCAGUAAAAAGUGAAAAGAGAAUGAUGGGAAAUCAAACUGAAGAGAUAGCCUGAAGUCAGGUCAUUAAGGGUUUUCAAUAUUAUGCUAAAGAAGCUUGGCUUUCAUUCUGUAACUGUGGGCAUAACAGGAACUCAAGUGAAGAAAUGAAAAGUGUUCUGUGUUAAGAUUAUUUUGGCAGAAAUGAUUUGGGCCAACUGACUUAGAUGGAGAUUAGUUGAAGAAACACUAAUUCAAGUGGCUAUAGAAUUUGAAGAACUGUCCUAGGUCAACAACUGCCCAAGGCCUAUUUGUCAAACACAUUCUUUUCUACAGUAUUGAGUGUCCCGCUGAGACCUAGUUAUGUGACUUGGGGAAAGUUAAGAAGCCUUUGAAUCCUUGAUUACUUCAUCUGGAAAAUGGAAACACUGAACAUGCUUUUAGAUUUCAUCCAGCUCUGAAAAUUUCAGUCUCCUGAAGAAUUUCAUCUUGAGAUUUAAUCUUGG
This 1542-nucleotide long non-coding RNA is filed under the name Bos taurus (domestic cattle). Its description in RNAcentral is "long non-coding RNA NONBTAT015575". Lineage: Eukaryota; Metazoa; Chordata; Mammalia; Artiodactyla; Bovidae. The record is from RNAcentral.